UUUACUUUUGAAAUAACACAAUGGGACUUAAUUAAGUUAUCAAAUGUUUUCAACUAUAAUUCCAAACAAAUGCUUACAUGUUCAAUAAAGAAAUACACGUACAGAAAUACUUAGAAAUGAAGCUUACCACUAAUGGAAUAUCCUUAAUUCUAAGGCAAAUACCCAAAGAACCUAUUACAUGUUAUUUCUCAAGAAGAUAGAAUUUCAUAAAAUUACUAUCGGAUCGAGUUUUAUCAGCUUCAGCUUCAUUUUUCUGUAAGUUAAGCCAUCAAAAUUAGAACAAUUUGUCUUAGAAAAAAGGGUGAUCAAAAUUAUUGACAUAAUCCAUUACUAACCUUAGAGAAUUUUAUUCAUGUAGCAUGUCUAUAUUCUCGUUAAUACCUCUGACGCGACUAUAUGCAAUUGAUACAAAGUAGUAAAUGAGUACCAAAUCAGUUUUGAAAAGAGCCAAAAGGCCAGCAAUGAUGGAGGAUCAAAUAUAAAACGAUAACACCCAUUUCAAAAUUUAGAACUUCUGAAAAAGAAAUUGGCGAGACAAAAAAAAAGAAUUAAAGUCCAGAACAAACAGAAGAAAAUAAAACAAAUUAUCUUUUGAGGGAGAAAGAAUUGAAUUUAGUUUCAAA
Molecule: long non-coding RNA, 623 nt
Filed under: Solanum lycopersicum (tomato)
Lineage: Eukaryota; Viridiplantae; Streptophyta; Magnoliopsida; Solanales; Solanaceae
Description: long non-coding RNA (SLYC_LNC001133)
Source: RNAcentral